UAGGGAAGUCUUCCACAAUGGGCGAAGGCCUGAUGGAGCAACGCCGCGUGUGUGAUGAAGGGUUUCGGCUCGUAAACACUGUUGUAAGAGAAGAAUGACAUUGAGAGUAACUGUUCAAUGUGUGACGGUAUCUUACCAGAAAGGAACGGCUAAAUACGUGCCAG
Molecule: ribosomal RNA, 164 nt
Filed under: uncultured bacterium
Lineage: Bacteria
Description: partial 16S rRNA
Rfam family: Bacterial small subunit ribosomal RNA
Source: RNAcentral